CAAUAGCGUAUAUUAACGUUGUUGCAGUUAAAAAGCUCGUAGUUGGAUUUCUGGAGGGAGCGUCGGCCCGUAUUUACGAGUGCGUGACGUCUCUGUCCAUCCUUGCGGGAAGGCACGGCAUUGAUUUGUUGUGUCGGAUCGCAUCAUUUACUGUGAAAAAAUUAGAGUGUUCAAAGCAGGCUUUCGCUUGAAUACAUUAGCAUGGAAUAAUAAGAUAGGACUUUGGUGCUACUUUGUUGGUUGAGCCUAAAGUAAUGAUUAAUAGGGAUAGUUGGGGGCACCUGUAUUGCGUUGUCAGAGGUGAAAUUCUUGGAUUUACGCAAGACAAACAGCUGCGAAANCGNNNGCCAAGGAUGUUUUCAUNAA
Molecule: ribosomal RNA, 366 nt
Filed under: uncultured eukaryote
Lineage: Eukaryota
Description: partial 18S ribosomal RNA
Rfam family: Eukaryotic small subunit ribosomal RNA
Source: RNAcentral